RNAcentral lists this ribosomal RNA (253 nucleotides) under uncultured bacterium. Its description in RNAcentral is "partial 16S ribosomal RNA". It matches the Rfam family "Bacterial small subunit ribosomal RNA", at positions 524 to 776 of the family's 1533-position model. RNAcentral also lists the same sequence under 1 other name. The record is from RNAcentral.
UACGGAGAGGGCUAGCGUUAUUCGGAAUUAUUGGGCGUAAAGGGCGCGUAGGCGGAUUAGUAAGUUAAAAGUGAAAUCCCAAGGCUCAACCUUGGAAUUGCUUUUAAAACUGCUAAUCUAGAGAUUGAAAGAGGAUAGAGGAAUUCCUAGUGUAGAGGUGAAAUUCGUAAAUAUUAGGAGGAACACCAGUGGCGAAGGCGUCUAUCUGGUUCAAAUCUGACGCUGAGGCGCGAAGGCGUGGGGAGCAAACAGG